GGUGGACGGUGUGGGCGGAGGAGGGAUAGCCUGGGAAGGAGGCCUUUGACUGGAGCACCAUCGCAUCGGCCGGGUCCCUUGAUGCUCCUCCCAGCUCACCCUCAGCACCACGGACACAGGAAAUGAAGGCCAUGUGCUCUCUCGGGCCCUGACCUUUUGUUCAGAGCAGCUCACGGGCAGGGAGCGGCCCUGGAGAGGCCUUGCGGUCCUGCAACCCAGGCCCCGCUGGGCCCUCUCCCAGGCCUGCCCCAGCGUCACAUCCUGGGGUGCAGCCAGCAUCCCCUCCCUUCCGGAACCCCACGCAGACCUGCACGGUGGUCAGCGAGGCGUCACUCCAGGGAGCCCCCACCCCACCCCAGGAAGCACCCAGGUAUCCGUCCUGGGUCCGAGGAUAAACUCGAGGUGCUCACUGUGUGUGGUGCCAACCCUCCGUGGGGAAAGGGAGCUUCCGGCUAGAAUGUGGAGGAAUGGGCUUCAACACCGUGCUACGUGAAACAAGCCAACCGAACCCCAGGCCGAGGGUUUCUGUGGCGUUCUGGUGCUGAGCAGACCGGGUGGCAGCGCCGGCCUGGGGCCCAGGAAGCCUGCUGUGGUGACAGAGGCCUGGGGCUGGGUAUGACACAAACGCUCACCAAAUGCGCCGCACUGUGCACCCAACGGGGGUCUUGUGCACUUCCGUUACACCUCAGUAGAGCUGGCAAAGGACGCAGCGCCCCCAGAUGGAACACGCACUGGACAACCCAGCAAUCGAGGUCCUUGGCAUUUGCCCGGCGGGGCUGAAAGCCGGCCCACACAAACCCUGCACAGAUGUGGACAGCAGCUUUAUUCCUCAUCGCCAAAGCCCGGGAGCCGCUGAGUUGUGCUCCAGACGAGUGUCCCUGUACUGCAGUAUUUCCGCAGGACGGAAGGACUCGGCACUGUGAGAAACGAGCUGCCGGCCCCCAAUGGUUGUGAGGAACCAGAAGUCCGUAUUCCUGAGUGAAAGGCGGAGUGGACAGGAGCUCCAGCCUGGAGUCUCAGAGAGCGCCCCAUGCAGGAAGGCAGGUUUCACACCCAGGGAGGCCCAAGGACCCCUGAGCACCUGGGCCGGGAGCAGAGUCCCUUGCGUGGGGCAGCUCCUCCGCUGGGACCUGUUUGGCUUCGGACCCCGGUGAGCUGUCCAGGAGAAAGACGGGGCCUUUGGCUCAGACAGAUUUUGUGGACUUGCUUCCUCGGGGUCAUGCAGAUUUCCAUUUCAUGCACAUAAUCACCGUCAUCUCCGAGUGGCCGGGGCCUGUGCUGCCCCACUGUGCCAUGCAUCGGGCCAUAGCUGUCCAGUUCUGAGUGAGCAGAGAGAAGAGACUGGCCAGGCAGCAAAGCCAGACUUUGGUUGGACUGCACUGAGGCCAGGGCACCCAGGAGAUUUCUAGGGCCUGGCUGGCCUGCCCAGAAAGGCCCGAUGGGUGAGACUGCUGUCUCCCAGUGCAGAGCCACUCCCAAACCCAGGGCCCCAGCCCCUGCAGACAUCUCUGAAGAAGCCCUCUCGAGCAUCCUGAGGCUCUGGAGGAUCCCUUCCAGAGAGAAACUCAGCUGGCUUCUCACCCUAGAGAAGAAAGAGGGAGCUUGAAAAGAAGAACUCAAAAAGCACAGUGAUCGAACCAAAGAAAGAAAUCUCAAAUGAUAGAAAUUCAGACCUUGAAGACCAGUCACGGGGAGGAAGGAGGCCUUCCUGGCACGCAGAGCGGGUGCCACGUUCCUGACUUCCUGUGUCUGACCUCCCCUGCUGGGGCCAUCUCUCCUGACGGAGGCUGGGCCUGGCUCCAAGCGCUGAGCUUAGGAGGCAGCCUGCUCCCCUCCAGGCCCUCUGACCGCAGAGCAGCCGAGGAAGGAUAACAAGUUCUGAAAAGAACAACAAAGGCUUGUGGGCUGGGAAACAGGAAGUGGGGCUUCUGCACUUGCAGUCUUCCAGUCCCACCACAAUCUCAGGGCACGCUCUCCAUUGCUAAGUACAGAGAAAUCACAGCCAGCCGGCUUCUGGUUUGCUUCCUUGUUUUGGUUAAAAUCAGUGGAAUUUCUUUUCCUCAAGCAAAAAAUCUUACCCAGAGCUCUAAAAAACAUGACAUGAAAUCAGUAAGAAGGCUUCCCCAGUGAAGUAUUUUCUUGGCCCAAGUGAGAGGACACCACGCCUCCCUGUGGAAUUGGACAACUGGGUUAACUGGGUAACUAUGCUCUUUGUAGAAUGCACCUGAGUAACCUUGACAGCUUCUGGAAUCUGUCACGAAAGGAGCAGAACAGACUCACAAAGUCCUGCCAGAGCUCUUGGCCCACCCCCUCCCCGUGCUUUGUGUAAAUCCUGCUUGCCAUAUUCCCAGGGAAACUCCAAUGAAAAUAAGCCUCGUAGAUGUAAAAGAGGUACAGAAAGAAGAGCGAACUUCUCUUCAGGCUCUCGAGACUGACAGGAGCCACUGGCUGAGCCACCGGCCAUAAAGCCAGUUUGCUCCUUCUUUGUGUGUCAGAGUGCUCUGUCCAGGUGUCCCCACAGUUUCCUGCUUCAGACGAACGCUAAUGGUCAUGGAAUCUCUAAGUUCCUACAGCUCCGUUUUGAUCCUCUGUCCUCAAAGUCAGCUUCUUCUGCACCUGGGAAAACCAACGGCAGAGACUGUUGGCCUGCUGAAACUCUCAGGACAGCAAAGGUGGCACCAGGUUCCCCAGAAAUCCUUCCAGGGCUCUAAAACCAGCAUAAGCCCUUCCUUAGUCCAAAAUGGUAACUUUGAACAGAAGCAGAGCUGCUGAGGCUCUGGCAGUUAGAGGUCCAGCAUCGAAGUCCUUGCCGACUAGACAUCCGGUAAGGACACAGACAGUGUCGUCUCGCUGUCUUCCUGCAUGGAAAGGCAAGAUAGGUCUCCGGACCUUUUUUUAAGAGCACCUGGUCACUGCGUAAUGACCCCAGCGCUAACACUGUUACAGAGCCGAUUGCAUUUGGGCGUGAGUUCUGGGGUUCUUCUGGGGGACCGGCUCUGCCUGGCAGCCCAGCCUUUCUGCAGGGCACAGCCACACCUGCCCAGCCUGCAUGGGCACGCUGCCGUCAGCUCCACACACAGGUGGAAAAUGAGGUCCAACCCUGCCAGAGCAGCCUCCUGGAUGGGCGUGGCAGUCUCCCCAGCCCAUCGCUCCAGGUGCAAGGGUGCCCCCUGUGUGGGGAGGGUGCGCUGGGCUGUCUCUGACCCAAGGAGGUGCUGAGGUCGGAAUGCUCGUGGCCCUCAGUGUCGAACCCCGCCCAUGAUGAGGCGUCCGGAGGGAGGGCGGAAGGGGUUGGGAGGGCUUGGGAGGUCGGAGUCCUGCCUGGGGUCCUGGCCUUCCAGAAGAGCCCUUCCACUGCGCGGGCACACAGGAAGACGCUGCCGCCAGCAGCCGGCGAGCGGCCCCACCACACGAGGAAUCUGCAGGCCCUUGGUCUUGGGCCUCCUGCCUCUGGAACUCAGAUCAUUUCUGUUGUUGUUAGGCCUCUCGGCGUGUGGCGUUUCGUUUUAUAGCCUGACAGGAUGAGGACAGGAGGCCUCACUUCCAACCAUCCCUGGUGAGCGUGGCCUUCUCAUCCAGACCCUGCCGGGGACCAGCCUCCGCUGCCAAGGGCCACAGCCUUGCAGGAUGCAGAGUAGCGACCUGGGCCUCAGCCCGGGGGACCCCCUUUCCGCUGGGCCGGCACGGCCUUCCUAGCCUACAGCCCACACUGGCCUCAGAGUGCUCCAAACACAGCCGCUCACUUGGGCCUCCUGCCCCAGGGCCUUUUCUCUGCCUCCCAAACCCACAGACUCACCUAGCUCUGUGGCCAAAGCACUCUCCCGAGCAGCUCACCCAGCCUCAGCCCCCGGGGCCUCAGUCACCUGCACACCCACAGCAGACCUCACUCGGGGGCACAGGGCCCUGCUUUCCCAGAAGCCUGGCUCAAGCAUCAGACACCGUCUGACCAGUGCUCCGCUGCCGCAGCACAGCUGUCUUCAUGGUCAGAUGCCCGGGUGUAGAGGGGAGGAAGCGGGAUUCCAGCACUUGGAGCCAGCCAUCAGCAGAGGUGUGACACAUCCUAGGGGAGUUGGUCAGGGAGCGUGUCGGGUCUCCUCAUGGUUAGGGCUGUGUGCAGCCCUCCAUGCCUACCUGGGAGGUGGCCACUGUAGGACUGAGCUCCCCCCAAGGCCCCUGACCCCACCUCACCCCCCAGCCAUGUAGCUCUGGAGGCCCCCGGGGCACAGGGCCAGCACAGCCUGCCCUGUCCACACCUGGGCCGGGCCAGGAAGGAGGGGCGCUGAAGGGUCAAGGCCCACAGCUGCUUUGUGCUGUGCGUGAGGAAGCAUCUUCUAGACCCACAUGGCCCCUCUCCGGACUCGUGCACUUGAAAAGGCGGCCACGCCGGGAUUGGAGCCCCCAGAGAGUCCAAGGGUAGCGGAGGCCUGCAGGGAGCUGUGGUGAUCUUCAGGUGGCCGUGGACUCCUGGCAGCUGAGAGUUCAGCUCUGGCAAAGGCUUGCUUAUUCAUCCACUCAGCCACAGCCAGCCAGUGCCAGGCAUUAUACUGGCUGCUGGGACACAGCAGUGGGAUUUAGCCGGGUGAGGCGGCGCACACCUGCCAUCCCAGCUACUCAGGAGGCUGCAGUCAGAGGCCAGCGUGGGCGACUUAGCAAGACCCCAUCUCAAAGUAAAAACUUAACCAAAGAGCUGGGGCUGUAGCUCAGUGCUCCCUGGGUUCAAUCCCCAGCACCACAAGAACAAGGCAGAACUUACAAACUUCCCUGGCUUCUGCUGCAGGGGGAGGAGAACAAGAUGAAGCGGUGACGCGCUCCGCGGUGGUGAUCAGGGGCAGAUGGAGCAUGGAGAGGAGUGUUUGAGGUGCACUCUGACGCGGUGGGAGGAGGCCUCCCUGGUGCCAGACCGGUGACCGGCCCUGAAGAGUGUCAGGGAAGCCCCGGGGCUGGAGCACCCCGGUGAGCCAGAGGGACGGCGGGGGAGGCAGGAUGGCGGCAGCCAUGCCGUGACCUGGGAGUGUCUCAGGAGAUGCUGUCGGGGUCGAGUGGUGGCCCCAAGAGCCUGUGCUGGAGUCCUAUCUGAGGAGCCUACCAGUGUGUGAAAUCUUGCGAGUGCAGUCACCCCAGGGAGCCUCGAGAUGCGCUCAGCCGAUCAUCCAACACAAGGGCUUUUGCAGUGACAUGCAGAGGACAGACGUGGGGAAAGAGGGGAGACCAGGAAAGCCAGAGGCAAAGACUGCAGUGG
RNAcentral lists this long non-coding RNA (5239 nucleotides) under Heterocephalus glaber (naked mole-rat). RNAcentral's name for it is "lncRNA (ENSHGLG00100047793.1)". The record is from RNAcentral. Lineage: Eukaryota; Metazoa; Chordata; Mammalia; Rodentia; Bathyergidae.